This 443-nucleotide ribosomal RNA is filed under the name uncultured Burkholderiales bacterium. RNAcentral describes it as "bacterial SSU rRNA". It matches the Rfam family "Bacterial small subunit ribosomal RNA", at positions 8 to 451 of the family's 1533-position model. The record is from RNAcentral. Lineage: Bacteria; Pseudomonadati; Pseudomonadota; Betaproteobacteria; Burkholderiales.
AGAGUUUGAUCCUGGCUCAGAUUGAACGCUGGCGGCAUGCCUUACACAUGCAAGUCGAACGGCAGCACGGGUGCUUGCACCUGGUGGCGAGUGGCGAACGGGUGAGUAAUAUAUCGGAACGUGCCUCAUAGUGGGGGAUAACGCAGCGAAAGCUGUGCUAAUACCGCAUACGCCCUGAGGGGGAAAGCGGGGGACCGUAAGGCCUCGCGCUAUGAGAGCGGCCGAUACCUGAUUAGCUUGUUGGUGGGGUAAAAGCCCACCAAGGCGACGAUCAGUAGCUGGUCUGAGAGGACGAUCAGCCACACUGGGACUGAGACACGGCCCAUACUCCUACGGGAGGCAGCAGUGGGGAAUUUUGGACAAUGGGGGCAACCCUGAUCCAGCAAUGCCGCGUGAGUGAAGAAGGCCUUCGGGUUGUAAAGCUCUUUUGUCAGGGAAGAAAC